GUGGCACACUCUCAAGUUCAACAAAUGGCCACAGAGGGCGAAAAAAUCGACCGCGCGGCGCUGCUAAAGAAACAGGCAUAGUACGCCAAUUAAAAAGGUUCCCCGUUGAGCGCAUUAUCUCCCGCUAGAGGCGCCGUAGUAAGCGCAAUUUUAACCUUCAAACUUUCUUCAACAGUAAACGAAGCGUUUUUAUCGCAUGAUAAAGACUACAAAAGUAUAAUUCCUAAUUUUACAUUGUACUUUUCAUUACCAACUUUGUUGUUUUUUGUCAUUUUAAACGCAAAAUAGCGUUCAGCAUCAUCGACCUCCCACGUGACCUCUGGCCUGGAUUUAAAAUUUUUACCGGUAUGUUCGCGUGCACGGCAGGUACGGAUUCCUUGGUUCGUACAUUUGUUGGUUAAUUUGUGCUAACACCAGUUUAUUGCGCUUCGAUAUCUCGCGUUAUUUAACUUGGGGUGUAAGCCUGAAAGCUAGGUUUCAGUCGUGAGCCAUGUGGAACACGUCUGCAUCGAAAUGGGAGCCGGGUCCUGCUGCGACUGGGGACAGCAAUACCGACAUGCAGUAAUGAGGAUGGCACCAGUAUAAAGCAACACACUCCAUGCACUAAACAGAAGCUGCUGCCUGCUACAACAAGGUCAUUGUGUGGACUUUGGCUGCUACUACAAGAGUCUGUGCCAAGUACAUCUUGGUCAUCACGGGAGCCCCCAUCUACACCAACAGGAAGGGGC
Long non-coding RNA from Dermacentor albipictus, 728 nucleotides. RefSeq lists it as uncharacterized. The record is from RefSeq and is a predicted model, not a curated record. Lineage: Eukaryota; Metazoa; Arthropoda; Arachnida; Ixodida; Ixodidae.